This 301-nucleotide ribosomal RNA is filed under the name uncultured bacterium. RNAcentral describes it as "partial 16S ribosomal RNA". It matches the Rfam family "Bacterial small subunit ribosomal RNA", at positions 509 to 807 of the family's 1533-position model. The record is from RNAcentral.
CAGUAGCCGCGGUAAUACGUAGGGUGCAAGCGUUAAUCGGAAUUACUGGGCGUAAAGGGUGCGUAGGCGGCUUGACAAGUCUUGUGUGAAAUCUAUGGGCUCAACCCAUAGUCUGCACGGGAAACUGUCGGGCUUGAGAAUGGGAGAGGUGAGUGGAAUUUCCGGUGUAGCGGUGAAAUGCGUAGAUAUCGGAAGGAACACCUGUGGCGAAAGCGGCUCACUGGACAAUAACUGACGCUGAUGCACGAAAGCUAGGGGAGCAAACAGGAUUAGAGACCCCAGUAGUCCCUGUCUCUUAUAC